This 1091-nucleotide ribosomal RNA is filed under the name Enterococcus sp. MK-1. Its description in RNAcentral is "bacterial SSU rRNA". It matches the Rfam family "Bacterial small subunit ribosomal RNA", at positions 26 to 1084 of the family's 1533-position model. The record is from RNAcentral. Lineage: Bacteria; Bacillati; Bacillota; Bacilli; Lactobacillales; Enterococcaceae.
GGGCCCAGGGCGGGCGUGGCUAAUACAUGCAAGUCGAACGCUUUUUCUUUCACCGGAGCUUGCUCCACCGAAAGAAAAAGAGUGGCGAAGGGUGAGUAACACGUGGGUAACCUGCCCAUCAGAAGGGGAUAACACUUGGAAACAGGUGCUAAUACCGUAUAACACUAUUUUCCGCAUGGAAGAAAGUUGAAAGGCGCUUUUGCGUCACUGAUGGAUGGACCCGCGGUGCAUUAGCUAGUUGGUGAGGUAACGGCUCACCAAGGCAACGAUGCAUAGCCGACCUGAGAGGGUGAUCGGCCACACUGGGACUGAGACACGGCCCAGACUCCUACGGGAGGCAGCAGUAGGGAAUCUUCGGCAAUGGACGAAAGUCUGACCGAGCAACGCCGCGUGAGUGAAGAAGGUUUUCGGAUCGUAAAACUCUGUUGUUAGAGAAGAACAAGGAUGAGAGUAAAAUGUUCAUCCCUUGACGGUAUCUAACCAGAAAGCCACGGCUAACUACGUGCCAGCAGCCGCGGUAAUACGUAGGUGGCAAGCGUUGUCCGGAUUUAUUGGGCGUAAAGCGAGCGCAGGCGGUUUCUUAAGUCUGAUGUGAAAGCCCCCGGCUCAACCGGGGAGGGUCAUUGGAAACUGGGAGACUUGAGUGCAGAAGAGGAGAGUGGAAUUCCAUGUGUAGCGGUGAAAUGCGUAGAUAUAUGGAGGAACACCAGUGGCGAAGGCGGCUCUCUGGUCUGUAACUGACGCUGAGGCUCGAAAGCGUGGGGAGCGAACAGGAUUAGAUACCCUGGUAGUCCACGCCGUAAACGAUGAGUGCUAAGUGUUGGAGGGUUUCCGCCCUUCAGUGCUGCAGCAACGCAUUAAGCACUCCGCCUGGGGAGUACGACCGCAAGGUUGAAACUCAAAGGAAUUGACGGGGGCCCGCACAAGCGGUGGAGCAUGUGGUUUAAUUCGAAGCAACGGCGGAAGAAGCCUUACCAAGGUCUUGACAUCCUUUGACCACUCUAGAGAAUAGAGCUUCCCCUUCGGGGGUCAAAGUGACAGUUGUUGCAUGGUUUGUCGUCAGCUUCGUGUUCGUGAGAUGUUUGGGUCAA